GACGAACGCUGGCGGCGUGCCUCAUACAUGCAAGUCGAGCGGAUGCAGGAAUGCAUUAGCGGCGGACGGGUGAGUAACACGUGGGCAACCUGGCCUUAAGAGGGGGAUAACGUUCCGAAAGGGACGCUAAUACCGCGUAAAUCAGCGAAAUCGCAUGAUUUUGUUGGAAAAGGAGAAAUCCGCUUAAGGAUGGGCCCGCGGCCUAUUAGCUAGUUGGUAGGGUAACGGCCUACCAAGGCGACGAUAGGUAGCCGACCUGAGAGGGUGAACGGCCACACUGGAACUGAGAAACGGUCCAGACUCCUACGGGAGGCAGCAGUAGGGAAUAUUCCGCAAUGGGCGAAAGCCUGACGGAGCAACGCCGCGUGAGUGAAGAAGGUCUUCGGAUCGUAAAGCUCUGUCAACAGGGACGAAACAAGACGGUACCUGAGAAGGAAGCCACGGCAAACUACGUG
This 455-nucleotide ribosomal RNA is filed under the name uncultured bacterium. RNAcentral describes it as "bacterial SSU rRNA". It matches the Rfam family "Bacterial small subunit ribosomal RNA", at positions 28 to 507 of the family's 1533-position model. The record is from RNAcentral.